Molecule: long non-coding RNA, 1528 nt
Organism: Coregonus clupeaformis (lake whitefish)
Lineage: Eukaryota; Metazoa; Chordata; Actinopteri; Salmoniformes; Salmonidae
Exons: 6
Source: RefSeq, a predicted model, not a curated record
CCCCCCAAAAGUGUCAGAGCACAGGGGAUAGUAGCUUUGUUUCCCUAUCUAGAAGACCCAUACUCACAACAUGGAUAUGAUCAUUACUACGAUCCGGAGAGUGGUUCCGGAUACCUUGCAUGGCGAUUGAAGACCAUACAAAGAAAAACAGCAGAGGAAAGAGGUGCCUCAGUCAGCAAAUCUCCUAAAGUUGGUGGGCCAGGCCGUGAUCGUCAGCCCUUCACCUAUGACAGAGAGCCAUCUGAUGAGGAUGUGGAAGCAGCUAUUGCUGUUUUGAGACACUCUGCUGAUGAAAACACUGUCCGUGAGAAGAUGAAAAUGACCUUCAUAUAUCGGCAAGCAAUGGUCAACGAUGAAGCCAAAUCAUCAGAUGUCUUCUCGGUCUUCCCAAGAUUUCUGGACACACCAGGACUGAUAGAACAAGAUUUCAGACUUCUGUUUGGUGAGGCCACAGCCAACAAAUUCUUGGAGAAGUGGCCAACCACUUUCAAAGCAAAAGUAAUAAAGGAAAGCCAUGGACUUGUAUCCACCACAGAACUCUUGGAUUUGAUGCGCAAUGCUGAGUCAGCUGCUGAAGUUGAGAAUGGCUGGGACAGUGACAUGUCUGCCAUCUUGCUGCUGCUACAUUUGCUACCACCAUCUGCACAAGGUAGAAAGAGGCCGGGAAAGAUGUCUGCAUAUCAAGCUGUAGAUCAGCUCAUCAGAUUUCAAAAGGUUGGAACCAGUGUGCAGCAGCAUCUUGACAACAUCACCCAAAGCAGUCAGCCCUACCUUCUCGCCCAGGGAUCCACACAGAGCAGCAUUCACUCCUACUUCAUUGUGGUUGACAAGCAUGCUCUUCCAUGCAAGGCAACAGGUUCAGUAGGAGCUUUUGACGAAGUCUUUAAAGCCCAUUACGUAUUUGGUACGUCAUACAGUUCUUCCUUGAGCAGCUUUUUCACUUUUGUGCAACCAUCUAUAACAUCGACAUGGGGGAAACAAAGGAGACUCCUAGAGUUGCUGAGUUGCGAGCAAGAAUGGUGCGUUAGUUGAGAUAAAACUAUGAAGUGUUUUCUUUGCAAAAGUGACCAUGGAAGUCCAAACAACCUUGUUAAGCACCUUAAGAUAAUUCAUGGGCUAUGUACAGGCAGGACUCUUUUUCUGAAAUGUGGUCAAGAAGGAUGCUCACGUUCUUUUGGUAGCUUUUCUGGUUUUAGAAAACAUCUUAACAAGUGCCACGGAGAAAGUUUAGUAGAUUCUAUAGAAGAUGAUCUUUCAGACCCUCAAAGUACCGUCAACACCAGUAAUAUUUCUCAUGUUGAAGUGUCGACUGAAUGUUUAGAGGCUGAGUCAGAGUUAUCUUCGCCAUACAUUGUAAAUAGUUGUGCAGCUGUUAUUUCUGAUCUAAAGGCAGCAGGUGUUGGUCAAAGUACAGUAAAUACUGUAGUGAUUUCCAUGGAAGAGAUUGUUCAAGAUAUUCAUCAGCAUGCUAAAGAAACAGUGAUAAAGCAUGUAUUUAGUAAUGAAAGAGAAACAGAAAUGUGCAAGA